CACGCUGGCUUGCUGUAGCCACAGCUCCAGCUCGGCCACCUGAGUCUGGCAGACAUGGAGGACUUCCGCAGGCCGAGGCCUUGUCUUCUCCACUGUGGCCCCAAGAGCUCCUUGCUUGUCAGAAGAGUCCAGAGCUGCAGCCUUGGUCGGGGGUGUGGUGGCCUACAAUAAACCCACAGGUAUCAUCUGUCAGAAGCAAAGACCUGGGGGAGAUCCCCUUUUUGUUACCUGAGAUAAAAAUCUGUUAUUAAUUAAUCUGUAAUAAAUGAUUUACCAUU
Heterocephalus glaber (naked mole-rat) is the source of this 278-nucleotide long non-coding RNA. RefSeq lists it as uncharacterized. The record is from RefSeq and is a predicted model, not a curated record. NCBI's taxonomy places the organism in Eukaryota, Metazoa, Chordata, Mammalia, Rodentia, Bathyergidae.